This 513-nucleotide ribosomal RNA is filed under the name uncultured bacterium. RNAcentral's name for it is "partial 16S ribosomal RNA". It matches the Rfam family "Bacterial small subunit ribosomal RNA", at positions 30 to 523 of the family's 1533-position model. The record is from RNAcentral.
AUUGAACGCUGGUGGCAUGCCUAACACAUGCAAGUCGAACGGCAGCACAGUAAAGAUUUCGGUCUUUAUGGGUGGCGAGUGGCGGACGGGUGAGUAAUGCGUAGGAAUCUGUCCUGGAGAGUAGGAUAACCCGAGGAAACUCGGGCUAAUACUGCAUGAUAUCGAGAGAUCAAAGGCAGGGGACCCUUCGGGGCCUUGCGCUCUAGGAUGAGCCUACGUCGGAUUAGCUAGUUGGUGGGGUAGAGGCCUACCAAGGCGACGAUCCGUAGCUGGUCUGAGAGGAUGACCAGCCACACUGGGACUGAGACACGGCCCAGACUCCUACGGGAGGCAGCAGUGGGGAAUCUUGGACAAUGGGGGAAACCCUGAUUCAGCGAUGCCGCGUGUGUGAAGAAGGCCUUCGGGUUGUAAAGCACUUUAGUUGGGGAAGAAAAGUAAUGAGUGAAUAACUGAUUGCUCUGACGGUACCCAAAGAAUAAGCACCGGCUAACUCUGUGCCAGCCGCCGCCGUAA